AGUGCCAAAAACGACGAAAUCAAAGUACCGAAAAAAAGUGCCGAAACAGGUGGCAACCAAACUGAUUAAUCAUUACUGAUUGAUCAUUAUUUAAAAAGGUUGAUAAUAGACUCAUAUUCUUAGUGUGAAAUAGGUUCAAGUAUUUGAGCGCUAGGUGGAGACAACCAACGAACACCUUUCCCGACCCUUUCAAUUUUGGACGCAAUCAUCUCCGAGUAAACCCUUCCUUAAUAAGCUCAUUUAAAUAAACAAUACAAAAAGAAAAAAUCUGGCCACGUCGCCCAACUCCCAAUUCAUGGAGUAAUAUUCCUUUCUACUCGUGGACUUGCCUGCUAACUAUGAUUACGUCUAUUUAUUUGCUUUACAAUACUAAAUGGCUUUUUAGGGUUGUCCAUUCUUACGAAAUUACACCAUCGUAAGAAGAAAAUGCAGUUUAUUAUAUAUGUUUAUGUUUAAACUUGCUUGCUUGCUUUCUCUAAUUUGAACACAAUGGCCAAUAAAAGGAAGAGGAUAGAAUUCAGAUUUUUGUACAUUUAAUAAGACUUCAACAAAUUUAUUGUCACGCUACUUCGAUUUAUACGGAGGCUGCCUUUUGGGAAGAGAAAUCUGAAAUAAGAAAAUGUCACUGGCUAAAGGAAAAUAAAACAUUCGGUAUAUUUAUAAGAAUAAAUGACAAUUUUUUACCAGAUUUAUUUCCUUUCUUCCACCCCUCAUUUCCACCCCGUGCGCCUCUUUCUCCGUUAAACAGAGAAAAAGUAAAAAAUGCGUGCUUAUUAGGGGGAGACUACACGAGUGGGUGGAAAUGGGGGAGGGAGAAAGGGAAUAGAACGGAUAAAAAAGAAAAGCAGCUUUAAGGAAAUAGGAAGUAGGCAAAACACUAAGAAGAACCGAGACGACCCUGGUGGAAUGAAGCAUGUAAAGCAGCUAUUAAAAAACGCACGAAAAGCCUAAAAUAGAUGGAAGAAAUCUCCACAAUAGACGGACAAAACAAAAAAUUGGAAAAUGCUGAAGUUAAAAAAGAAAAAAAGUUAAAAGAAUCCUGAAGACAAUGGACCGACUUAUCUCAGAACUAGGGCCACAAGAUCAAAACAAAUUGUGGCAUGUUCAUUAAAUACAUGAUCGGAAAGGGAGUGAACAUGUCACCCGACGAAAAACAGAUAAUAAAUUAUGGAAACAUAAUCGAAGCCCAAAAAGAUAAAGCAGAAACCUUCCUAGACUGCUUUUGCAAAGUGCACCCUUCAAGUAUCCCGAUCAACUCCCACUUUUAAAAAACCAUCAUGAAUUCAAGAAGAUUCACCGACAACCCUUAAUGGCUGCAAAACAAUGGAGGAGGUGAAAAGGAAUCUACCGAGAUCAAAAAGUAAAUCCGUAGGACCGAACCUAGUCCACAAUCACAUGCUAAAGAACCUAUCAACGCAAAUAAAACCCACCUUCUUCAUUUACUUAACCUACUACUUAAGCACUCAUACGUACCCAUACAGUGGAAACAAUCAAUUGUAAUACACUUGCUGAAACCGGUUAAAGAAAAGACCGAGCCAAGAUCCUAUCGGCCAGUGUCGCUCUCGUAGUGCUUAAGCAUAAUAAUGGAAAUAAAUGAAGUCAAUUGGUUAUAAUGGUACAUAGAAAAACAGGAAAAAUUAAAAGGAUACAAGCUGGAUUAACAAGAGGAUGCAGCACAAUGGAUCAUAUAGCGCAGCUGGAAACCGACAUCCAAAUAGGUUUUAGCAUGAAGAAAUCUACAGUCGCGGUGUUUCUAGACAUAGAGAAAUCAUAGGACUCAGAAUGGAAGCAAGGCUUAGUAUAUAAAAUUGCCAAAUCUCUCAGGAGAAGAUGUUGAUUUGUAUGAUGACCUAAAUACCUUUGAGAAACAGUUAGCUGCAGAAGAGGUAACCAUAAAAAAUAUCUUUAAAUUAAUACAUAACUAAUAGAAAAUGCAUUAGCUCCAAGCCAAAGUUGAAAUACUUGAACAAAAAUUUUCAACUUUGGACAGCAAGAAUGCUGAGUUAAAAGCUGAGCUUGACAAAGUAAACAAACAAAACCUGGCGCUGAGAUGUAACAUUUCCUCCAUCUUUAAAACUGCCAAAGCUGAACUGGUGAGGAAGGAUCGCCAACUGAAAGAUCUUCAAAGAGAGCAUGACACACUUAUUUUCCGUAGAAGUGCAGCAAACAAUAGAAUGCCUCCACACAACAGUAAGAACACUCC
This 2203-nucleotide long non-coding RNA is filed under the name Daphnia pulex (common water flea). Its description in RNAcentral is "uncharacterized LOC124200738". The record is from RNAcentral. Lineage: Eukaryota; Metazoa; Arthropoda; Branchiopoda; Diplostraca; Daphniidae.